AGAGAGAGACAUGCGCGCAUAUCAAUAAGCGGAGGAAAAGAAACUAACAAGGAUUCCCCUAGUAACGGCGAGUGAAGCGGGAAGAGCUCAAAUUUGAAAUCUUAAAGGGUUUCCCUUUACGAAUUGUAGUUUAAAGAAGUGUCUUCUGUUGAGGUUUUGGUAAAAGUUCUUUGGAAUAGGACAUCAUAGAGGGUGAGAAUCCCGUAUUUGACCUUUACUUUCAACUUUGUGAUACACUUUCAAAGAGUCGGAUUGUUUGGGAAUGUAGUCCAAAAUGGGUGGUAAAUUUCAUCUAAAGCUAAAUAUUGGCGAGAGACCGAUAGCGAACAAGUACCGUGAGGGAAAGAUGAAAAGAACUUUGAAAAGAGAGUUAAACAGUACGUGAAAUUGUCAAAAGGGGAGCGUUUGACACCAGUGUUGUUUUUCUGAAAAUCAAUUAAAGAACUGUUUAUGCUAAGUUGUUUAGACUUUAUCAGCUAACUGUUUAGUUUUGAGCUUUUCUUUAAUGCACUUUUCAGUUAACAAGUCAACAUCAAUUUCUUUUGCUGUAAAAAAGCUUGAGGAAGGUGGCUUGAGAUUCGUCUUAAGUGUUUAUAGCCUCUUGCCUAUACAGUCGGAGAGAUUGAGGUCUGCAGCGUAGAUCCUUCGGGGCUAAAUGCAUUUGUGCUAAGUUAUAGCAUUUUAUAGACAACUUGUUGACUAUGAUUUGUCUUGUAGCUUACCCGCUUAUGUUAUUUUACCUACGCUUAGGAUGUUGAGCGCAUGUCUCUCUCU
RNAcentral lists this ribosomal RNA (774 nucleotides) under uncultured Neocallimastigales. Its description in RNAcentral is "partial large subunit ribosomal RNA". It matches the Rfam family "Eukaryotic large subunit ribosomal RNA", at positions 23 to 616 of the family's 3401-position model. Lineage: Eukaryota; Fungi; Neocallimastigomycota; Neocallimastigomycetes; Neocallimastigales. The record is from RNAcentral.